Non-coding RNA from Odocoileus virginianus texanus, 1121 nucleotides. NCBI's taxonomy places the organism in Eukaryota, Metazoa, Chordata, Mammalia, Artiodactyla, Cervidae. The record is from RefSeq and is a predicted model, not a curated record.
UAAAGGCUCCUUACCCCCUCUCCUGUGCUUGCAAUGUAUAUUUCCUCCACUUUUCCCACACUCAGAGUCACUUCAAGCACUUAGCCUUAAGUGAGUAACGUCCUGUUGAGACAGACCCUCUGGGCUGUAUAUAUAAUCGAACCCUGUUAAGGCCUCUGUUGAAACUCUAUUUAGAGUCUGGCAGGUGAGUUCCCAGACCUCAUCUCCAGCCGCCCAAGACAAACUUUCUAAAUCCCUGGCUUAUUAUAUAAAACCCGCCACCUUCCAAUCCGGAGUGGACGGCCUCCUUCCUCCACCUCUCUUUGCUAUUUGAGUUCGGAGGCCAGUUUCGGACUUCACCCGGGACACUCCUUAAGUUUAGAAUCCACAGGCAGGAAGUAGACUGUUGGGAAGAACCAGUAUCGCAGCACUUCUGAGAAUUACAGAAUCAGGCUGCGGAGAAGUCCACUCCACUCGCUUCUCAAAAGACGCCGGCUCUCUGGUGGGAUCUCGCGGGAUUUCAGAUUUCAACGGAAGCCAGUCGGGGAAUUCUGGGAUGAGACACACCAGGGUGCCCCGGUGCUAGAAGCUUCUUAUGCCAAGUUUGUCAGUAAGGAAUCUGCCCCCUAGCACCUCUUCCGCCAACUUCAGUACUCCUGGACACCUAAAGCCGCCCCGCCCAGUCAGUGCAGUGGAGUCUAUGCCAGGCCUCGCCAGAUUACAUUAUUGUGUUUGUAGCAGAGAAAAGCUAUUUUCCCUCUACCCAUCUUAAGUUUAUUUGGUGGAGCCCUGAGAAUUGAAAAAGAUCAACAAAAGAGAGAAAAAAACAACCAAACAGAUGUUUAUUAACAUGUGCAUUUUCCUGCACAUGGCAUUACCCAGUUGUGAGUAACUCUUAGCGGUGGUCAGAACUUUGGGAUAUAGAGCAUCUCAACAAUGAGACAAAAGAGAAAUUUUCAUAGAAAAGUCAUCAUAAUUCCAGGAAAGUUGAAGUAUAUGUGCUACUGAAGCGAGCACCACUUCGAAUUUCUAUGUGACUGUGAUCAAUCCUGUGAUCUACUCUGGAUAUUAGCAACUGUCUUCUUCAUGGCUUGUAAGACAAGAGUUGGCAAACUCUCCAAGAGGAACAGCAGGAUGCCAAA